AGGAAGAGAUACCUGAGCCGGCAUGCUCUUGUGCUGUCUCCCUGUCUCCAUGUGAUGCCCUCUGCCAUGUUAUGACACAGCAAGAAGGCCUUCGCCAGAUGCUGGUGCCUUGAGAUUGGACUUCUCAGCCUCCAGAACUGUAUCUGUGCCACACAGAUGUCCCAUCUGCACUUGGGAAAGGAGAGGAUGCUCUGGGAGGAGGACAAGGCUCUUGAGGCAACUUUCUUCUUUCUUUAUCUAACACAAACUUCCCCAGCUCCCUCCAUCUAACCACAGACUCCUCCAGACAUGGUAAGAGGAUGCCAGCUAAAGGCACUGGCACUGAUACCUCUCUGCAUGUGUGUUGAUGGAGAAAAUAAAAAGAUACACACAAAAAAACAUGGACUGAAAUGCCCACCUCCUGACCUUGUACAAGAUGAGGUUUCUCCAACAAGCACUGAAUUGAUUUUUUCUACCAAGGGAUAAGAUAAACAUGCCUCAUGUUUUGCAACUACUUCUUGGCAAGACUCGCAGGACCGACCGCAGCCAACACAUGCCAACCGCGAGAGAAACCUGAGGAUGCGGUUCUGUGUGGCAGCAGCACCCAGGGGCUUUGGCCAGGGCAGGGCCAGGUGCCAGGAACUGAAGCUGCUAGAGGGAAACCAAGAAAAGCUGAGACUUGAAUGUGGAGAUUUGAACUUGUCAACCUACUGAGUCUGCCAGCUCUGGAACCCUCAUGUCUGGACUUCUUGGUGUGUGGUAGCAUCUUCCUUUUGCUCUCUCCACAGAGUAUUCUGAUUCUUGGAAACAAACGUAUCCCAUCUGACUCAUUGGACAUCUGAUUCCAGUUGUAUCAAACAGGCUCAGACAGCUUGUCUUUGCCUCUGUUGGCUUAUGGUGGACAAUUGUUAGUUUUGUUGUAAAGUCUUUACUCCAAUCAAAAAUCCUGGAAACACCAUGUUAAUUUAUGGUAUUUUGUUAUAGCAGCCCGAAAAGAAUAAG
Molecule: non-coding RNA, 981 nt
Organism: Microcebus murinus (gray mouse lemur)
Lineage: Eukaryota; Metazoa; Chordata; Mammalia; Primates; Cheirogaleidae
Source: RefSeq, a predicted model, not a curated record